GCUGGGCAUGGUGGAGCAUGCCUGUAAUCCCAGCUACUUGGGAGGCUGAGGCAGGAGAAUCAUUUGAGCCCAGGAAGUGGAGGCUGCAGUGAGCUGAGAUCGAGCCACUGCACUCCAGCCUGGGCAACAGAGCAAGACUCUGUCUCAA
This 148-nucleotide non-coding RNA is filed under the name Gorilla gorilla gorilla (western lowland gorilla). The record is from Rfam by way of RNAcentral. Lineage: Eukaryota; Metazoa; Chordata; Mammalia; Primates; Hominidae.